Coffea eugenioides is the source of this 194-nucleotide long non-coding RNA. RefSeq lists it as uncharacterized. The record is from RefSeq and is a predicted model, not a curated record. NCBI's taxonomy places the organism in Eukaryota, Viridiplantae, Streptophyta, Magnoliopsida, Gentianales, Rubiaceae. The transcript is spliced from 3 exons.
UUUUCUUGGGGCUUUUGGGACACCAAAAUCUGACCUUUUAGCACACAAGUAAGGAGUUGGUGAAGAGCACAAUCUCGAUCAAAGUUUGGAAUUCUAGACACUUCACUUGAGGUUCUGAAAUGCAUGAAGUCUUGGAGAACUAGAACAGAAAUGUUAUAUUUUGAAUGCCCACUUUUGUAAUUGUACUUUUGGAA